RNAcentral lists this ribosomal RNA (158 nucleotides) under uncultured fungus. Its description in RNAcentral is "5.8S ribosomal RNA". It matches the Rfam family "5.8S ribosomal RNA". Rfam says of the family: 5.8S ribosomal RNA (5.8S rRNA) is a component of the large subunit of the eukaryotic ribosome. The record is from RNAcentral. Lineage: Eukaryota; Fungi.
ACAACUUUCAACAAUGGAUCUCUUGGCUCUGGCAUCGAUGAAGAACGCAGCGAAAUGCGAUAAGUAGUGUGAAUUGCAGAAUUCCGUGAAUCAUCGAAUCUUUGAACGCACAUUGCGCCCCUCGGUAUUCCUUGGGGCAUGCCUGUUCGAGCGUCAUU